CUGGCGGCGUGCCUAAUACAUGCAAGUCGAACGGUCGUUUCUAUGGAAGCUUGCUUCCACUGAGAAGAUAGUGGCGAACGGGUGAGUAACACGUGGGUAACCUGCCCAUAAGAGGGGGAUAACAUCCGGAAACGGGUGCUAAUACCGCAUAGUUUUCUUGAUCGCAUGAUCGGGAAAGGAAAGACGGCCUUUGUGCUGUCGCUUAUGGAUGGACCCGCGGCGUAUUAGUUAGUUGGUGAGGUAACGGCUCACCAAGACGAUGAUACGUAGCCGACCUGAGAGGGUGAUCGGCCACAUUGGGACUGAGACACGGCCCAAACUCCUACGGGAGGCAGCAGUAGGGAAUCUUCCGCAAUGGACGAAAGUCUGACGGAGCAACGCCGCGUGAGUGAAGAAAAGGUUUUCGGAUCGUAAAACUCUGUUGUCAGAGAAGAACAAGUUGGAGAGUAACUGCUCCAGCCUUGACGGUAUCUGACCAGAAAGCCACGGCUAACUACGUGCCAGCAGCCGC
RNAcentral lists this ribosomal RNA (511 nucleotides) under uncultured bacterium. RNAcentral describes it as "bacterial SSU rRNA". It matches the Rfam family "Bacterial small subunit ribosomal RNA", at positions 36 to 518 of the family's 1533-position model. The record is from RNAcentral.